This 1758-nucleotide long non-coding RNA is filed under the name Apteryx rowi (Okarito brown kiwi). RNAcentral's name for it is "lncRNA (ENSARWG00000009101.1)". Lineage: Eukaryota; Metazoa; Chordata; Aves; Apterygiformes; Apterygidae. The record is from RNAcentral.
GAAAAGGGUUUGCUCCUUUUCUUGUACCCCAGUAGCCACUGUAUUGGUGACUAUAGCCCAAAAGCAACUUGUGCAGGAAUCCUCUCGCCAGACCCAUGCUAACCUCAAACAGGUUAGAAGGUGGUUUGUUCAAACUCAUGGUGGGUAAGCAGCUUUAAAGGCAGAGAUUAUGUGUUACCCAGUAAGAUAAUACAAACAAGGCAGUAUUACAAUUUUGCAGUCAUUGUGUAACACAGAGGAAAAUACAGAUAUUCCAGCUGUGUUUGUAACACACCUCACACACAGGUGCGUCAACCAUUAAGAAAGACUGCGCAGAUUAGUGAAAUCUUCCUCAUCUGUCUAAAUGCGUCUGGAUGCAACAAAGUUCAAUGGAGCAGAUGCGCGUAUUUCAGGAUUUUACAUCUACCCUCUGAUUGCAUGGUUACAGUAUUGACUCAACCUCCAGUUCACUUCCUCUGGGAUUUCUUCAUCUUCAGACUUUUUCCUCUGUAGGAGUGAGAUGUUACAACACAGGAGUUGAGAUCCUUUUAUAAACAUUGCUUUUGAGUAAAGUUCUGGAUUAACAUGGAGUUAUAAUAUCACAAUUAUUGGUUAUUAAUUGUUGAUAACUGAGAUUUUUCUUUGAGGAUUUUGAAGAUUGACACUGAAUCUCUUGUUCCUGACUGAAAAUCCUGAUUCUGUGCCAUCAGCAGUCCUUUGGCAGCACUCUCUUCAGGAUCGUGCACCUAUGAUAAUUCUUUUCUUGCAAUCAGUUUUGUAAUCCAUUACUUUAAAGCAACAAAAAUCAGAUUUGUUUAAUUUUCAAGGGGCAACCACUGAGAAACUGAGUCCCUUUUUUCUCACCUGCACAACUCUGAACAGGAUAUGGGAAAUGAUGUAAGAAAAUUUUGAUUUGGGACGGUAUCUGUUCCACAUAAUAUUCUUAAGUACUCAAAUCACACUUUCUGUGUUUCAAGUGCUUUGUCUAUUCUAGUAAUAAAUGCUCAUGGUACUCCCACUGAGUUACAACCUUUUGGUGAAGGAGAGGUGGGUGACUUGCCUACUGCAACACAGUGAGUCAUUGGCAGAACGAGGAUUGCAACACAGGAUUUCCUGUCUUCCAAAUCUGUUCUGGUUGUUUCAGAUCAGGCUGCCUCCCAAACAGGAGUGAUCUACUGGGAUUAUGAACCAUUUGUUUGAGACUAGUCAUCCACCACUUAUUAGAAUGGACAGCAAGCAUCUGAGAGAAACAAAUAUUGCUCCUUGGGGAACACAACCUGUUCCACCAAAUGUAUUUACACAAAGGAAAAGCCUGAAAUAACUAGUGCUAGAAAGCUGCUGUAUACCAAAUGACAGUGUGGACAGUCUUGAUUGAUUGCAUUUUGUGUGUGAAAGUUAUUCUACAUUGAAUUACGCUAAACCUCAAGACAGCUUUUCUUGCAGAAUAGGAAUGGCCAUGCAGAGAGCAAGUCUAAAAUAGUUAUUAAACUCUAAUUGUGUCUCAUACCUAUUGCACAAGACUUUUCCAAAGGAGACGUGCUGUAAGAAAAUAUCACGUGACGUAGGAAGAAGAUGGAUGAGGCAUUUGGCCCUUGGCACUUUUACCACAUCAUAUACCAGGCAGCACCUCCAUUUACGAUGUGUUUUGAGCCCACAUGAUUUAAUUAGGCUCUUCUCUUGCCAAAAAUAGCAUGGUUGAUAGAAAGCCUAAGUAUCUGCAGAGAAAUUGUGGCAGAUCCAUAGCGGCAGGCAGGUCCCUCAUGUCUAGGAAGGGGGAUA